GGGAUUACUACUCACCCAGUAUAUGGUCAGCUCUAACUACAUAAUGUCAUGAGGAAUGAAGGAUAUAUUUGGAAAAGAAUGUAGUGUGAUUAACAAUCUGUAAAUUCUAAACUUGAGAAAGUUUUAUUCCUAUGGCAAAGAAUCUGGAAAAGAUGUUUUCCUGAAAUCCGUGCAGCCAUCAGCAUUCACCAUUGGUCUAAAACUAACAGACAAUCCUAUAAGCACUUAAAGACACAGAAAGGAGAUGAAUUUAUGCACUGGUUUUUCAAGCAGGAAGAUAAUUAACGAUGACUCUGUACAUUUGUUUAAACUUCUUUCAGAAGAGGCUUGUGAAAGGUAUAUUAGAACGACAAUGGCAAGCUGAUUCUACUUUUACCUGGAUGUUUCCAUUAAUAGGUGUAUUCCUUUAGCAGAACAUUCUUGAAUUCCACCAAUCCCUGUGAACGAUAGUAAAGAAGAGUCACAACAUGCUUUCCCUGAAA
Molecule: long non-coding RNA, 482 nt
Filed under: Homo sapiens (human)
Lineage: Eukaryota; Metazoa; Chordata; Mammalia; Primates; Hominidae
Description: non-protein coding lnc-USP35-15:1
Source: RNAcentral